AACGCUGGCGGCAUGCCUAAUACAUGCAAGUCGAACGAGAGUGCUUGCACUCUAGUGGCGAACGGGUGAGGAACACGUAAGGAACUUGCCCCAAAGACGAGGAUAACCACGGGAAACUGUGGCUAAUACUGGAUAGGAUAUAGAUUCGCAUGAACCUAUAUUUAAAGGUGCGUUUGCAUCACUUUGGGAGAGCCUUGCGCAGCAUUAGCUAGUUGGUAGGGUAACGGCCUACCAAGGCAACGAUGCUUAGCUGGACUGAGAGGUUGAACAGCCACACUGGGACUGAGACACGGCCCAGACUCCUAUGGGAGGCAGCAGUAGGGAAUUUUCGGCAAUGGGCGAAAGCCUGACCGAGCAAUGCCGCGUGAACGAUGAAGGCCUUCGGGUCGUAAAGUUCUGUUGUAAAGGAAGAAUGAUCAAAGGAGGAAAUGCCUUUGGUUUGACGGUACUUUACCAGAAAGCUCCGGCUAACUACGUGCCAGCAGCCGCGGUAAUACGUAGGGAGCGAGCGUUAUCCGGAAUUAUUGGGCGUAAAGCGUGCGUAGGCGGCGUGUUAAGUCGAAUGUGAAAGCCCACAGCUUAACUGUGGAGGGUCAUUCGAAACUGGCAUGCUAGAGUACGGCAGAGGUUAGUGGAAUUCAAUGUGUAGCGGUAAAAUGCGUAGAUAUAUUGAGGAACACCAGUGGCGAAGGCGGCUAACUGGACCGGAACUGACGCUGAGGCACGAAAGCGUGGGUAGCAAACAGGAUUAGAUACCCUGGUAGUCCACGCCGUAAACGUUGAGAACUAAGUGUUGGGGUUACCCAGUGCUGAAGUUAACGCAUUAAGUUCUCCGCCUGGGAAGUACGAUCGCAAGAUUGAAACUCAAAGGAAUUGACGGGUCUCCGCACAAGCGGUGGAGCAUGUUGUUUAAUUCGAAGAUACGCGAAGAACCUUACCAGGGCUUGACAUGUCCGGAAUCCCGGUGAAAGCUGGGAGUGCCUUCGGGAGCCGGAACACAGGUGGUGCAUGGCUGUCGUCAGCUCGUGUCGUGAGAUGUUGGGUUAAGUCCCGCAACGAGCGCAACCCUCGUCUUUAGUCGCCAGCAUUAAGUUGGGCACUCUAGAGAGACUGCCGGUGACAAACCGGAGGAAGGUGGGGAUGACGUCAAGUCAGCAUGCCCCUUACGCUCUGGGCGACACACGUACUACAAUGGUCGGGACAGAGGGCAGCGAACCUGCGAAGGCAAGCUAAUCCCAGCAAACUCGGCCUCAGUUCAGAUCGCAGGCUGCAACUCGCCUGCGUGAAGGAGGAAUCGCUAGUAAUCGCCGGUCAGAAUAUGGCGGUGAAUCCGUUCCCGGGCCUUGUACACACCGCCCGUCACACCAUGGAAGCUGGCCACGCCCGAAGUCGUUACCCUAAC
RNAcentral lists this ribosomal RNA (1402 nucleotides) under uncultured organism. Its description in RNAcentral is "bacterial SSU rRNA". It matches the Rfam family "Bacterial small subunit ribosomal RNA". The record is from RNAcentral.